CGGAUGCAAAAAGAUAACGGGCAAUGUCCUGAUGUCCAAAACCUGUGGUUUACAAACAGCAAACUAUCGCAACCAACCACCACCGCCAUGACAAUGGCGACGACGAGCCUCAAACUCUUAUCCUCACAACCACCACCGCACGGCAACCACCACCACCACCGCACCACAACCACCACUAUCCUCAGCCACAACCGCCUUCCAAUUCCGCUUUCUAACCGAACAUUUUACAGUCUACAACCUCUUCACUCUUCCAACAAUAAUUACAGUAGAACUCACCGGAGGAGGUAUCGCGUGUGCUGUAAGGCCGUAGAUGUUAAACCUAAAGACGCUUCUGACUUCGAAGCAACUGCUAUUGCCGGCCGAGAUCGUCUGUUGAAGGUUCCCACAGAAAAAAUUAGGAAUUUCUCUAUCAUUGCACAUAUUGAUCAUGGGAAAUCGACAUUAGCAGAUAAGUUGCUGCAAGUGACGGGUACAGUGCAAACACGUGAAAUGAAGGAGCAGUUUUUGGAUAACAUGGAUCUUGAGAGGGAAAGGGGAAUCACUAUCAAAUUACAGGCUGCUAGAAUGCGUUUUGUGCAAGACGGUGAACCUUAUUGCCUUAAUCUUAUUGAUACUCCAGGGCAUGUUGAUUUUUCUUAUGAGGUUUCGCGAUCCCUUGCUGCAUGUGAGGGGGCUCUUCUUGUUGUUGACGCCUCACAGGGAGUGGAAGCUCAAACGUUAGCUAAUGUUUAUUUAGCCUUGGAAAAUAACCUUGAAGUGAUUCCUGUGUUGAAUAAGAUAGAUCUUCCAGGUGCCGAACCAAGUCGUGUUGUUCAAGAGAUUGAAGAGGUCAUCGGUUUGGAUUGCAGCAAUGCUAUUUACUGCUCAGCAAAGGAGGGAAUUGGUAUAAAUGAAAUACUGACUGCAAUUGUUCAAAGGAUUCCUCCACCGCCUGAUUCAGCUGGAAGACCUUUGAGAGCUCUUAUAUUUGAUAGUUACUAUGAUGCGUACAGGGGUGUUAUUGUAUAUUUUCGUGUUAUUGAUGGAACUGUAAAGAAAGGUGACAGAAUUCUUUUUAUGGCUAGUGGGAAGGAUUAUUAUGCCGAUGAAAUCGGAGUUCUAUCUCCUAAUCAGCAGCAGGUUGAUGAACUAUAUGCUGGUGAGGUGGGCUACAUGUCAGCAUCAAUAAGGUCAGUAGCAGAUGCUCGGGUGGGUGACACAAUAACCCACUAUGGUAGAAAAGCAGAGGAAUCUCUUCCUGGAUAUAAAGAGGCCACUCCAAUGGUGUUUUGUGGCUUGUUUCCUGUAGAUGCUGACCAAUUUCCUGAUUUACGUGAUGCCCUGGAGAAACUACAGCUUAAUGAUGCUGCAUUGAAGUUUGAGCCAGAGACAUCAAGUGCUAUGGGCUUUGGUUUUAGAUGUGGGUUUUUGGGUCUUCUUCAUAUGGAAAUUGUUCAGGAAAGACUUGAACGCGAAUACAAUCUAACUUUGAUAACUACUGCACCAAGUGUUGUAUACAGAGUGCACUGUGUUGGUGGUGAAAUUGUUGAAUGUUCAAAUCCAUCAGCACUUCCUGAACAAGGUAAGAGGAAGUCGAUUGAAGAGCCAAUGGUGAAGAUUGAAAUGCUAACCCCAAAAGACUACAUUGGUUCACUUAUGGAACUUUCUCAAGAUAGACGCGGAGAUUUUAAAGGAAUGAAAUUUAUCACAGAGACCAGAGCUUCACUCACCUAUGAGAUGCCACUAGCUGAGAUGGUAGGGGAUUUCUUCGAUCAGCUAAAAUCAAGGAGUAAGGGCUAUGCUAGCAUGGAGUAUUCUUUUAUUGGGUACAAGGAAAGUGAUUUGAUAAAGCUAGAUGUGUUGAUAAACGGUGAUGGUGUGGAGCCUUUGUCUACAAUCGUACACAAAGAUAAGGUUAUUGACAGGUUAUAAUGUUAUCAACUUACUUUCUCUCUGUAUAGGCAUAUUCUGUGGGAAGGGCUUUGACUCAGAAGCUAAAGGAACUUAUACCUAGGCAAAUGUUUAAAGUGCCCAUCCAAGCAUGCAUAGGCACAAAGGUGAUUGCGAGUGAAAGUUUAUCUGCAAUUAGGAAAGACGUCCUUGCCAAAUGCUACGGUGGUGACAUCUCGAGAAAGAAAAAGUUGCUAAAGAAACAGGCUGCUGGAAAGAAAAGAAUGAAAGCGAUCGGAAAAGUAGAUGUGCCUCAAGAAGCAUUCAUGGCGGUUUUGAAACUCGAAAAAGAGGUGCUAUAAUCAGUCACACAAUGCCUAUGUGACAGCAUGCUGCAACACAUGCACAUUGUAUCUAUAUCACAUGUACAGUGUAUCUACCAAGGUAGAAAGCAAAAUUUUUUAAAUGGGCAAUCAACUUCCUUGAUGUCAUCGGGAUUUAGUGAUUAGAGACUACACAUACCAUUGUGGGUUUUUAAUACAGCUGCUUCUGAAAGGAAAAGAAUGCUGAA
RNA transcript from Helianthus annuus (common sunflower), 2440 nucleotides. It is a transcript of the gene named translation factor GUF1 homolog, chloroplastic, with no coding region annotated. The record is from RefSeq and is a predicted model, not a curated record. Lineage: Eukaryota; Viridiplantae; Streptophyta; Magnoliopsida; Asterales; Asteraceae. The transcript is spliced from 22 exons.